RNAcentral lists this ribosomal RNA (462 nucleotides) under uncultured bacterium. RNAcentral describes it as "partial 16S ribosomal RNA". It matches the Rfam family "Bacterial small subunit ribosomal RNA", at positions 28 to 507 of the family's 1533-position model. The record is from RNAcentral.
GACGAACGCUGGCGGCGUGCUUAACACAUGCAAGUCGAACGGAAAGGCCCUUCGGGGUACUCGAGUGGCGAACGGGUGAGUAACACGUGGGUGAUCUGCCCUGCACUUUGGGAUAAGCCUGGGAAACUGGGUCUAAUACCGAAUAUGAUCAUCGGCUUCAUGGUCGGUGGUGGAAAGCUUUUGCGGUGUGGGAUGGGCCCGCGGCCUAUCAGCUUGUUGGUGGGGUAAUGGCCUACCAAGGCGACGACGGGUAGCCGGCCUGAGAGGGUGACCGGCCACACUGGGACUGAGAUACGGCCCAGACUCCUACGGGAGGCAGCAGUGGGGAAUAUUGCACAAUGGGCGCAAGCCUGAUGCAACGACGCCGCGUGAGGGAUAACGGCCUUCGGGUUGUAAACCUAUUUCAGCACAGACGAAGCGCGAGUGACGGUAUGUGCAGAAGAAGGACCGGCCAACUACGUG